This 298-nucleotide small nuclear RNA is filed under the name Jaculus jaculus (lesser Egyptian jerboa). Its description in RNAcentral is "7SK RNA (ENSJJAG00000005384.1)". It matches the Rfam family "7SK RNA". From Rfam's summary of the family: 7SK was discovered as an abundant small nuclear RNA in the mid-70s but a possible function has only recently been suggested. Two independent studies have found that 7SK RNA binds the CDK9/cyclin T complex (known as elongation factor P-TEFb). Lineage: Eukaryota; Metazoa; Chordata; Mammalia; Rodentia; Dipodidae. The record is from Rfam by way of RNAcentral.
GAAUAUGAGGGCUAUCUGGCUAUGACAUCUGUCACCCCAUUGAUUCCACUGGUCUGGGUGAUCCUUCACUACUCUCUGUGCAUCCUUCCUGAAGCUACAUGUACUCCUUUUAAGAGGAUGACCUUCCCCAAAUAGAGGAAGACCUGUCUUCCAUCAAGGUUAUACAGUCAAGGGUAUAUGAGCGCCUGUGCUGUCCUGCUAGAACACCCAAACAAAAGUGCCUGACAAGUAGCCUGCUAGAAAGAACAAGGGGGUAAAGGAAGGUUCAAAGGGCUAAGUGUGUGGCUAUGUGCUCAUU